UACGUAGGGGGCUAGCGUUGUCCGGAUUUAUUGGGCGUAAAGAGCGUGUAGGCGGCCAGGUAGGUCUGGUGUGAAAACUCGAGGCUUAACCUCGAGAUGUCAUCGGAAACCAUCUGGCUAGAGUCCGGAAGAGGCGAGUGGAAUUCCUGGUGUAGCGGUGAAAUGCGCAGAUAUCAGGAGGAACACCAAUUGCGAAGGCAGCUCGCUGGGACGUUACUGACGCUGAGACGCGAAAGCGUGGGGAGCAAACAGG
RNAcentral lists this ribosomal RNA (253 nucleotides) under uncultured bacterium. Its description in RNAcentral is "partial 16S ribosomal RNA". It matches the Rfam family "Bacterial small subunit ribosomal RNA", at positions 524 to 776 of the family's 1533-position model. The record is from RNAcentral.